CGCGUAGGCGGCAAGGCAAGUCAGAUGUGAAAUCCCCGGGACUCAACCUGGGAAUUGCAUCUGAAACUGCAGUGCUUGAGUCCUGGAGGGGGUAGUGGAAUUCCCAGUGUAGCGGUGAAAUGCGUAGAUAUUGGGAGGAACACCUGCGGCGAAGGCGGCUAUCUGGACAGUGACUGACGCUGAUGCGCGAAAGCCAGGGGAGCGAACG
This 208-nucleotide ribosomal RNA is filed under the name uncultured bacterium. RNAcentral describes it as "partial 16S ribosomal RNA". It matches the Rfam family "Bacterial small subunit ribosomal RNA", at positions 568 to 774 of the family's 1533-position model. The record is from RNAcentral.